UAGGGAAUAUUGGACAAUGGGGGCAACCCUGAUCCAGCCAUGCCGCGUGAGUGAAGAAGGCCCUCGGGUUGUAAAGCUCUUUUGUCCGGAAAGAAAAGCUUCGGGUUAAUACCCCGGGGUUCUGACGGUACCGGAAGAAUAAGCACCGGCUAACUUCGUGCCAGCAGCCGCGGUAAUACGAAGGGUGCAAGCGUUACUCGGAAUUACUGGGCGUAAAGCGUGCGUAGGUGGUUGUUUAAGUCUGAUGUGAAAGCCCUGGGCUCAACCUGGGAAUGGCAUUGGAAACUGGGCAGCUAGAGUGCGGUAGAGGGUAGUGGAAUUCCCGGUGUAGCAGUGAAAUGCGUAGAGAUCGGGAGGAACAUCUGUGGCGAAGGCGACUGCCUGGACCAGCACUGACACUGAGGCACGAAAGCGUGGGG
RNAcentral lists this ribosomal RNA (419 nucleotides) under uncultured bacterium. RNAcentral describes it as "bacterial SSU rRNA". It matches the Rfam family "Bacterial small subunit ribosomal RNA", at positions 355 to 766 of the family's 1533-position model. The record is from RNAcentral.